Sarcophilus harrisii (Tasmanian devil) is the source of this 1639-nucleotide long non-coding RNA. RefSeq lists it as uncharacterized. The record is from RefSeq and is a predicted model, not a curated record. Lineage: Eukaryota; Metazoa; Chordata; Mammalia; Dasyuromorphia; Dasyuridae. The transcript has 2 exons.
UGGGUGGUCCCUCUCCCAGAGGGACUUUACCUGCCCAGAAUACCCUGAUGAAUUAUGUUCUGCCCCAUGUCCACACGCAUCUUAACUCUCCCACAUCUUGCCUCCCAGAACGGAAUUUGCUCCAGGAAUCAUCGUUUCUAGUUUUAACUCUGUUUUUCAGCUCUGUUUCUCUUCCAGAAAGGAGAGGCAAGAAACCAGUGCAUCAAAUCUUGUGUCGGCCCCAUAAGGGAAGCCAGCUGGGACUGUACCUUUUGUAUUCUUCCCUUUCCCUCGGCCCCUCAGCCCCAGUCCCCCAGGCCCUAAUUCUGCGACAUUCAUUCCCUCCUUGUUUUCAGACUCAACCCUUGGUCUCCGUGCCCGGGCUAAGUCUCCUCCCCCAGCCUCAUCUUCCCUCCAGGGAGCCUUCUGGAACCCCCUCCUGGUGCCAGCCUUUGUGUAAAUACGGGCAGUGGCAGAAAGUAAGAGACUGAUAAGAGGGGCAGGAGCCAGCUCCAGGCCAACCAGCCCAAGGCCUGCUUCCCACACUGCACGGCCCAGCAGGGCCGAGAGGAGAGGGACGGAAUCCUGCCAAUUGCAGCUUGUCCCCAGCUGCCCCCGCAGCCCUGCCAGCCCAGCCCUCUCUGGGCUCCUCUCCCUCCGAGAGAGCAUGGACGUUGCCUGCUGGCUAAGGUUUCAUCGCUGCUUUUCCUUCCAAAAUCAUUUUCACUUCAAACGAGGAAGAAGCUGGAAGUCCAGUCUGGGUGGGGUGGGUCCCAGAAAUGAGGGAGGGGGUUGAGGUCGGGUCCACAUGUGCCCUCCUCGCCUUUCUCUGUCCCACAUUUGGGACGUGAACCAGGAAAUUCCACCCUGGAAGGGUACAGGCCAGAAGGAGGGUGUGGCCUAGCGGGCCCUUACAGUGAGCCAGGGCAUGUGGCUUCAAUUCCUGCCUCCCCCACUGACUUAUUUAACCAUGUCCUGCCCUGAGCCUUGGCUUCCUCCCUGUGAAACAGAGACACUUGAAGAGCAGAGGGCUUCCAGGCUGGCUCAGGACCUUUGCACUGUCCGGCCCGAUGUUCUGGUUGCCAUUGGUGAUCCCGAGGGAUGUGCCAUCUCUGAGAUCCAUCUUAAAGGUUUGUAACAGAAUUAUUAAAGCAUGAUUCAACAGUGUGAUGUGACAGCUAAAGAAAGCUAAUGAUUUUGUGCCUUUAAAGAAUAUGGUGUCCAGAAGGAAGCUGAUCAUCCCACUGUCCUUCAUCUUGAUUAGACUCCAUUUGAAAUAGUGCAUGUUCAUUUUUGGAUACCACAUGGCACUAAGGAUGUUGACAAAUAGAAAUGUGUCCAGAAGAGGACCUCCAGGAUGUCAGGGGGACUGGAAACAUGCUAUAAAAGCAUUGAUCAAAGGAAGUGGAGAUGUUUAUUUUGAAGAAGAGAAGGUUUGAAAAUGAGAGGGAAGAGUGGUCAUGACAGUAUGCAGUGCAUGGUUUUGUAACUUUAAUAGAGUUUCCAUGUAAUGUUUUAUAUUAUGAUACCCCAUUCUCCAUCAGGCUGUAAACUCCAUGAGAGUAGACAUCAAUGUUCUAUCCAAGCCAUUUAUCUUCCCUAGAGCACAGUAUUAUGCCCUACACACAGUUGGCGUUUAAUAAAUGAGUUAAUCAAUGAA